GACGAACGCUGGCGGCGUGCUUAACACAUGCAAGUCGAACGGAAAGGCCCUGCUUUUGUGGGGUGCUCGAGUGGCGAACGGGUGAGUAACACGUGAGUAACCUGCCCUUGACUUUGGGAUAACUUCAGGAAACUGGGGCUAAUACCGGAUAGGAGCUCCUGCUGCAUGGUGGGGGUUGGAAAGUUUCGGCGGUUGGGGAUGGACUCGCGGCUUAUCAGCUUGUUGGUGGGGUAGUGGCUUACCAAGGCUUUGACGGGUAGCCGGCCUGAGAGGGUGACCGGCCACAUUGGGACUGAGAUACGGACCAGACUCCUACGGGAGGCAGCAGUGGGGAAUAUGGCACAGUGGGCGGAAGCCUGAUGAAGCAGCGCCGCGUGCGGGAUGACGGCCUUCGGGUUGUAAACCGCUUUCGCCUGUGACGAAGCGUGAGUGACGGUAAUGAGUAAAGAAGCACCGGCUAACUACGUG
Molecule: ribosomal RNA, 468 nt
Filed under: uncultured bacterium
Lineage: Bacteria
Description: partial 16S ribosomal RNA
Rfam family: Bacterial small subunit ribosomal RNA
Source: RNAcentral